This 75-nucleotide transfer RNA is filed under the name Candidatus Woesearchaeota archaeon. Its description in RNAcentral is "tRNA-Glu". It matches the Rfam family "tRNA". From Rfam's summary of the family: Transfer RNA (tRNA) molecules are approximately 80 nucleotides in length. Their secondary structure includes four short double-helical elements and three loops (D, anti-codon, and T loops). Further hydrogen bonds mediate the characteristic L-shaped molecular structure. tRNAs have two regions of fundamental functional importance: the anti-codon, which is responsible for specific mRNA codon recognition, and the 3' end, to which the tRNAs corresponding amino acid is attached (by aminoacyl-tRNA synthetases). tRNAs cope with the degeneracy of the genetic code in two manners: having more than one tRNA (with a specific anti-codon) for a particular amino acid; and 'wobble' base-pairing, i.e. permitting non-standard base-pairing at the 3rd anti-codon position. Lineage: Archaea; Nanobdellati; Candidatus Woesearchaeota. The record is from RNAcentral.
GCCCCUGUAGUGUAGCCCGGUUAAUCAUCCCGCCUUCUCGGGGCGGUGACUCGGGUUCAAAUCCCGACGGGGGCA